GAUGAACGCUGGCGGCGUGCCUAAUACAUGCAAGUCGAGCGAACAGACGAGGAGCUUGCUCCUCUGACGUUAGCGGCGGACGGGUGAGUAACACGUGGAUAACCUACCGAUAAGACUGGGAUAACGUCGGGAAACCGGAGCUAAUACCGGAUAAUAUAUUGAACCGCAUGGUUCAAUAGUGAAAGACGGUUUUGCUGUCACUUAUAGAUGGAUCCGCGCCGCAUUAGCUAGUUGGUAAGGUAACGGCUUACAAAGGCGACGAUGCGUAGCCGACCUGCGAGGGUGAUCGGCCACACUGGAACUGAGACACGGUCCAGACUCCUACGGGAGGCAGCAGUAGGGAAUCUUCCGCAAUGGGCGAAAGCCUGACGGAGCAACGCCGCGUGAGUGAUGAAGGUCUUCGGAUCGUAAAACUCUGUUAUUAGGGAAGAACAAAUGUGUAAGUAACUAUGCCCGUCUUGACGGUACCUAAUCAGAAAGCCACGGCUAACUACGUG
This 497-nucleotide ribosomal RNA is filed under the name uncultured bacterium. Its description in RNAcentral is "partial 16S ribosomal RNA". It matches the Rfam family "Bacterial small subunit ribosomal RNA", at positions 28 to 507 of the family's 1533-position model. The record is from RNAcentral.